GUUUAGUCUCUUUGCUAAAGUAAUCAGGCAAAGCUAAAAAGAGUUUGGUGGCUAGUACUAUGUCUGGGACCCUAUAUGUACUGUUGAUGAAGUUAGGUGCUGUUCUGAGCAUUAUUUGUGGAUAUAGAGUGGCGUUUUGGUUGAGGUUUGCACAUGGAGACGUAGACCGCUGUGUAUUGCUAUCAUGCGGUCAUUACUAAAGUUGGUAUAACUAGAGAAGCAAGUGGUCGGCAAAAUUCAUCUCUAGAGGGGGUCUAACUCGGUGUUACAGUGUGUUUGACACUAAUUUAAAUUUGUGCCGGAAUAUCCCUUUAAGCAGCAAUCCCUAAAAAGUCCCACUGAGCUGCUGGGUGCAGCUUCUAGACCCCAGUAAGCCACGCUGCUAGUGAUAAAGCCAGAUGACUCUGCCCAGAGAGAGAAAGAGAGGAGGGGGAAUAACUUUGAGUAAAACUGUAUCUGUGUUGUUUUGUUUCAGGAGAUAAAUACGUGUUGCCUAAAUCUCUCUUUGAUCACAGAAAACAUUUAUUCUCCAAAGGAAACCAAAAGGGAAUAGCAGCAGCACAACCUCCACUUCAAUUUCCCACUGGAGAUGCUUAAAGUGAAACACAGCAAUGUUAAACAAAAAUAUUCACAAUGCGCCGGCACUUUGGUGCUUAAACUAGGAAAAUGGUAAAAGCUUUGCACCAAACACACACCCUUUUUUGACUCGCUGAUUCAGACUGUUUGAAGACGACACAAGUAACAAACUGUAAGAAGUUCAAUAGGCUUAUAUCAGAUGACAUGCUGAUGCAUUACACACUCUUAGCCCUGUGCACUCCAAACUCAUUAGUAAACAUGCCCUUAUAUCAUCUUGACUCCAUUAUUGCAACAACCUUUCGUUUGCGGGUCUCUGGGCACCAUCUUCAGCUUACACAGUGCUGCUGCUGCUGCUGCUGGAUGCAAAGGCCUGCAAAUGUAUCCGGAGCUUCCUUCCAAGAUUCUCCUUUUUUAUGUUCAAAGCCCUGCAGUAACUCUUCCUGACUCACAUUACUAAACCUCUCUCCUCGUACAGUACAGCAAGGCCUCUUGGAUCCUCAGAUUAAGGCUGGUUAACUGUCCCACAUCUCACAGGAGAACUUGUAGGAGACAGGGUCCUAAUUCUUUGUAUCUGCAGCCAGACUCUGAGGUAGUUUCCCUGACAGUAGACUCGCUAAAAAGUUUUUGGACCAAGUUGAAUGCCCUUGGCUACCUGUGAUGAUUGUUUCCAUGAUUAUAUCCUGAUUCAUGAGUGUGUGUAUGGAAAGCUGCAUUUGCCAGGACUUUCCAGCACUAUCAAGUUACAGAGUCAAUUACCAAUUAAAGGGAUAUUCCAGCGUAAAUUUAAGUUAGGGUCAAACACACCGUAACACCGAGUUAGACCCCCGCUAGAGAUAAAUGUUGCCGACCACUUGCUUCUCUAGUUAUACCAACUUUAGUAACGACCGCAUGAUAGCAAUACACAGCGGUCUACAUCUCCACGUGCAAACCUCAACCAAAACGCCACUCUAUAUCCACAAAUAAUGCUCAGAACAGCACCUAACUUCAUCAACAGUACAUAUAGGGUCCCAGACAUAGUACUAGCCACCAAACUCUUUUUAGCUUUGCCUAAUUUCUUUAGCAAAGAGACUAAACACAACUCACCCACUCUCCUCCAGCAGCCGCUUGUUUGUGGGGGAGUCCUGACAAGUUGAUCACAGAGUGCAGCGGAAAAGUUAUCAUUAUUACUUCCUGGAAAUGGGACAAUCACGUCUGCAGUGCAAAAUGAUUAUUACAAUGAUUAUUACUUCAAGGAAACGAUCCACUGCACUCAAUGAUCGACUCGUCAGAAACAACAGGAAUCUAGGGAAUUUCCCCUGCACUGUAUCCAGGUAUUUAUGUCAAAGUCACACUGGUUAAAUUUUUGGCUUAAAAGUUACUGAAUCAAUUUCAAGUUACCCAAUCGUUUUAGAUCGUAUUGUUCUAAAUGAGCCAAUAUCGUCCUUGAAUCAAAUCGGCAACCACGAAUCAUGAUACGAAUCAAAUCGAUGUUGAAAUGAAUCGUAAACAACCCUAGAAUAAAGCCACCAAAAAAAGUCCUGCACUUGCACAUACUGUGUGCAUCAUGUCACCAAGCCUCUAAAUUCACUUGUUGAUGUACGUAAUCUAACCCCAACUCCUAACUUCCUCCUCUUGUUUUACCUGUUUGCUUCUGGUGAAAUAAACACAUGAAAUUUCAGCACAUCAUCCGAGAACACUGGAUCAUGGUUUCAAACUUGGUCCUGAUAUCCAUGGGCGGUUUGAGGCAAGAUAAAUUGUCAGAUAACUGGUAUUUAUCGCAGAUUAAAUCAAACCACUCGUUCGCUGUUACUUCAUUUUUUCCCAGAUGUGAAGGUUAUGUGUGUUUUUCAGAAGGCUUUAAUAUCAGGACUAAUUGAGUUGACAUCCAGCAUAAUUGAAGUGUGAGAGUUGUAUUGUGUGUUUUUGUCACAUUAGAAGUAAAAAAGAAGCUAAAUAAAUAAUAAAUCAAUAAAUUGAUGAAGAAAAGGACAAUUAUAUCCUGCUUUGCUCUUAAUUAACAACAUAUAAAUGUCAAAAAACAGAUUUCUGCAGAUCAUUGUGAUUAUAUUUGUAUUAGACCUAUUGGAUAUAGUAUUGAAAAGAUCCUAAAGAAAAUGGGUUCAUCAAAAUUGGGGGCAUAUACAUUUAUCAAAGUUACUUGUACUGAAUUUAGUUCCCCUUUAAAAAAUAAAUAUCUACAUCUGUCAUCAGUAAGUGUUUGUUUAUGUACAAAAGGACUGUUUUUCUUCAUAAUGAUUGCAUCUCCUCUUGCUUCUGUGCUAAAAUUUGACUGGGAAACAUGAGAUGCCCAUGAAGGACAUAAUAUCUCAGUGGUAGUUUUUUCAACAUGAUACAUGAUUUCUGGAGGAAACGUAUAUCAGCUUUGAGUGUACGUAAAUGAGCGUACAUUUUUCCUCUUUUUAAUGACCUGCCAGAAAAGUGACGUCAGUACGUAUAAAUAGAAAUUAUAUAUCAAUAAAGUUCUUCUUAUCUUAUAUAGGAAGACUUUUUGAAUUCCUGUUACAGCGAUCAGGUUUGCUCAGGUAUCUCUGGGUCAGGCUGCAGUUUUUGCUGCUGUUGUUCUUCACUGAUGGAUUAAGUUGGAUUGCGAAGUCUUCAUUGUCCCUGAGAGGCAAUUUGGUUUGCAACAGAAGUCCACACAAAGCAUCCUGUUGUAGGUCUUCCUCCCGCUUGUGAGUGUAUCGAUCUUUUAACAGGAUGAAUAAACUUUGGUUUUACUCUGGGCACAUUAUCAAUUUGGCGAGAAUGUAUUCUGGGUUCAACCGAACCUACGAGGAAAAGACUGCAGCGCCGACUAAUAAUGAAUCACCUGGAGGAGGGAGGGAAUAAUGGUGCUAAAGGAACCAGGAUUGUCAAACAGUGGUCUCCUGUGUCCACGUACUCACCGCCAGGCUUAAAGCGUUAAUGAAGCAGCAUCAUGAUUCCUGUGCUUUUGUUCCUUCAAGACAUGAGUCAUAAUUCACACAGCCCACAGAAGUAAACAUUUCCUCAAUUACAUCUUCAUGCAUUAUAAAACAGCUUUAGCAUGUGGCUUUUCCAUAGAAGAGAGUAAGAGAAACCAAAAAGUCCUGCAGGGAGGGGAAGAGUUCAGAGAGGAUGAGAGGCCUUCAUAUUGAUUUUCGAGCUAAGUAAGGAAAGGUUGUAAGUUCGGAUAGUCUUGGAGAUUAAAGUUGCGUUCACACCAAAAAGUCGGUUUUGUAAUACGAAACAAAGCGAAGAUGAAACCUUGAUCCGCGUUUAAAAAUUGUCACGUGGCUGCAAAAACCAUUGGCAUAACAAGCCUUAUGUCCCUUAUCACUUACCAUAGCAUGUGUACUGUUGCAUUAUGGGUAUCGUAGGCAGAUACAGUAUGAUACAAAAGUGAUGGCUCCACAUGGGAGCUGCAAUAAAAGAUGAUAUUAAAUCUCCAACACGGACUUCUUUAUUAAGAGUACCGAACAUUACAUACAUCAUGGAGCAUCGUCUACUCAUCUUUAUGUCGGUGCUGAUCUAGACUGCAUAUCAGCAGACUUAAAUGGACUGCGCGUAUGAACGGCUGGGAAAACUGUGGCAAUUAAAUAAUGUAUUGAUACACGCACGUCGCAGAAGACGCUCUGCAAUCAGACGGUCAUAUCACAGAAGACUACAGGCAAUUAUGAGAGCCUACCUCCAUGUUUUUUCAAGGCGCGCUUCCUGUGAUCAGUGCAGAUGGGGUUCACACUAGAAGUAAACCACUCUAGAGUUCACUUUAGAGUGGUAGUGGUCUGAGACCGCCCCUACCAGGCGAACGCGAGAGCGGUUGACUGGUCCACACCAAUGUUUAAGGACAGCGUUCACAACAACCAAAAAGAACCGCACCAAAGAGGUAAACGCUCCAGGGUUCAGUUCAACUGGACCAAACAAGGCUGGUGUGAACAUGACCUAAGGGCCCUUUCUCACCCAGAGUUCGCUUAGACGGUCCGGUUUAGGGACCAGAUGUUUACAUUGUUGCAUUUGGUCUGGUUAGCGUUCACAUGGGACUUUUGCUAAGCAAAGCAAAUGGUUUAAAAAAGAAGCAAAAUUACGAGGGAAAAUCACUGUCUGUCACCUGUUCAUUUGGGGCACAACCUUCAUUGUCCCACAGUGCAGAGAGAACAAUGGGUGUCUUGCUUCACGCAAUUCACCAGAGGUAGCGGAGACAUUGUGCAUUAAUGCAAAGAAAUUCCUAUAACACAUUGUCAGCGUGUUUGUUGAACAGAAGAACACCCAGGUAUUUAAUAUCACCCGACUACUGUAUUGGAACACAAACCCUCUACCAUUCGUCCAGUUCUACGGACAGUCCGGUGUUUUUACCAGCUGUUCUCCAUCUGCUGCAACUCCUAACCAGGCAUAAUUUCCUGGCUUUAUUACAGUGUAAAUGUGUUAUUGGUUUAUAUUGAUAUAGAAAAAGUCCGGCUGCAUCAGGGCUGCGUUCACAGUUGUGUUCAUGGACCAGACCAUGGUUCGUUUGGAGGGGGACUGAGUCCUGCAUUUUCAAGAGGACCAUGGUUGUAAGGAUGCCUAGCCCAUGUUCACACUUAAAAGAAUGGAAGGUCCAAACGAAUGAUCAUUUUGACAAGCUUUACUGGUUGCAGAUCUGGGUUACAGCUUCAUCAGGCCACAAGUGUAACAAAGACUGGUCUGAGACUGGUCAAGUAUAGAUAGCCGUCCAUGUUUCCAAACAUUCUUCUGGCAUCUUGUUGACCUGGAGGAGGAUCCAUGUAGGGUAAUAAAAAAAAAGCACAACAUAUUUUGGGAGCCUGAGUGAUGUUAAACAUGGGAACAAGGUCCUUGUUGAGGAUGGUUGUCAGAGGCCCAUGGCUCCAGAGAUCUAGCACCAAAGUAUCUAAGGUUUUUGAGUGACACAGCUCCACCACCCUAAAGGAUGACCUGACUGACUCAAGAGAAUCACCCUAACAAUGGUCCAUUUGUUCAAUCUGGACCACUGUUUGCUUGCACGUUCAUACCACCUGGACCAACCAUGGUCCUAUUCGAACGAACCGAACCAUCCUGGUGUGAAUGCGCCCUUAAGUUCAUUUGCUUUUGCAACAAGACCGUCUCAAAACGUCCCCUGAAAAUCAGCUCUGAAUAAAGUAGAGUGAUCUAGAAAUGUAUGCAUCUAUGUGUAGGUGAUUUUUUUAGCAUUUAUGCAUGAGUUUAUUCUACUAAUGUUUAUACAGAAGCUAUAAUUACUUAUGUGAGAGUGACAGACAAAAACAGAAAUAGAAAUAGAGUUUGUCUCUCUGUGUGUAUGUGUGUGUGCGUGUGUGACACUCAGGUAAUUGGGACAUUGUUGUUAUGCAGAUAGGUAGCGAGACUCCUGCCCCGAGGCCAGCCGCAGCAUAGAGAGUGUCACAGCAGGGAAGAAUUACCCACAUGAAACGAGGCAGCGUUGUAUUCAGACUGAUGAAUGCCAACGGGAACAACGAGACUUUGUUUCUCUGUCUCUCAGAGAGACAACAGUCCUCAUUUUGGCAGAGAGAAUAUGGCUGCUCUCCAAAUCUUCCCUGACAUUCAGCGGAGGUUUGCAGCGCCCGAAGAAAGACUGCUGGACUACCCUCCCUGUUUACACACAACCGUGGCAUUAUGGGUAUUUAGUCCAGCUGUGGCUGCGAGGUAAAGCACUGACCUGUAGUGAUAAAUGGUAAUUUAACAAAGAUUUUCACAUUUGCCUCAAGUUUCUAAAAUGUCCUUUUGUACUUCCCCACAAAAAAAGCUCCAACUUUAAUUAAAAUAGUUUUGUUUUAUAUGAAACACACAAUACCUUGAGCGUUUUCAUUAGGACGUGAACAUAUGACACCUUUAGAAACCAACAGCAUCCAACAACCAUCGUCUCAUUCGUGCAUUAAGUCAGAAUAGCUGAUUGGGAUCAAUAAAGCCACUCUCGGUGUUUUAUGUGUAUAUUUCAGAGAUAACCAAACUCCAUAGGGACUUAUUAGUUCCUCCCCCCUCUGACAGAAAGGACAGAAGAGCUCAGAUGGAAGCACUCGCAGCCUGAGACAUGAUUUUUAUUUCCUUCAACAAGCACACUAAAGGUAUUUAGUAUGCAGUUUGCAUUGCACCUCCGUCGAGCUGCAUUUUCCUUCUGUUAAAGUCACAUCUGCAACUGCCUCACCGCUCUCUGCCACCCUGCCCCUCAGCCUCCGCCUCCUCCGCCUCCUCAUGGCCAUCUCAUUAUGGAAGCUAAAUUAACCAUGGCGCAUACCUUCAGAGCGUGCAGCAGUUUUACAGCGCCAUCGGUCUCGCCUCACAAAUACUCCAUCAUGUAAUUGAAUAUCAAGUCUACCGGGGGCUUUCAUAAGUGACUGACCCACUGCAGGAGCGUAAUUGCACACGAGGAUGCAGUUUUUCUUUUUUUGUUUUUGAAAACAGACACAUGCAGACUCACAUGUGUGAUGCUCUUACAGUCAAGUACAGUGCAGAAGAGAGAGAAAGAGUGUUUCAACUGAGCGGAGUAAAGUUUCUUUAAAUUCACAAGGCACAGCAUUAUAAAACUAAUAAAUAAAGUUUACGACAUAAUCUCAGAGACCUGGAACAAGCACACUUGUGAGCCAGAAAUCGUCCAUGACCUUAAAUAACUCCUCGACGUUACUUAUAGACUUGGGUUUGUAUCAUCUGACCAGUCCAAAAAGAAGACACCCAUCGGAUGUACAAGUUACUUUAAUUUACUGUUCGGUUAAUUUACUGGCUUGUAACAUUGGAACAAUUUUAAGUUUAAAUUGUAGUUUCUGUUGCACACCUGUUAUUAUGCAUGUCUGGUUUUGCUGGUAUUUGUUGUUGCUAAGAGAACAAUCUGUGUGGAGAGAUAAACAAUAACACUAUCCUAGCUGACAUCCCUGUUAUCAUGAUGAUGAUUUUGUUCCAUUUAUCAUAAAAAAUGCAUAUAUUUGCGUGCAACUGCAGGUAGCAAUCUUCUUUUUAGACAUUGCUCCCUAAAUUCCACUUCAUUCUUUGCCUUCAAAUGUGCUGGCUGUUCCUAAAUAAGAGCAAAGAACUGAAAAAGACUAAACUCUGUCUGAAAGUCCUGUAAUGCAAAUCCAGAAGCCUUGAAAAACCGUAUUACUGUCAGAUGAUAGCUUGUAUGUUGUUCCUAAAGUUUACCUAAAGUCAACUAGUUGUGUCUUAUCUCCAUGUAUCACAGCAAAGUGCUCAAUUUUAUAGAUAACCUUCCAAUGUGCAUCAUUUAUGAAAUCCAAACACUACCUCUAUCAAUCGUACUUAUCCCAAGCCCAAUGAAAAAAGUUAAAAAAUAAAAAGUAAAAUAAAACACAUACUUCGGGUGGUGAACCUCAUCUCACAGAGACAACUCCAGGGCAAGAAUUCAAUCUGUCCAUUUUAUCCAUUUUAUAUCACGACAUAUAAGCGAUAGAGAACCAGAAAUGUCAAUCUCUCAUCUGAAUGCAACUUUGAAAUCAUACCUCAGAGUAGGGCUGGGCAAUACACCAAAAAUGUACCAAUACCAAGAUUUAUGACAAUAACUGACACCAUUUUUGCCCAUAUCGGUAUAUGAAAAUAAAUAAAUCAAAGUUUGUUUUGGAUGUGUGUAGGUAGGCUAAGGUCUCAUGUCCCUUUAAGACGCUGUCCUACGUCUGAGACGUGACUCCACCCCAUCCAGUCCGUAACGAAGAGGGAAAGACAGGUGAGGAAAUGGAGGACGGUUCAAAAGUUGUAGUGGCUGAAGUAGACGAAGUUAAUGUGGGAGGAGGUGAGCUGCUUGUGGAGUAGUUAUCGUCCAUUUAUUGUUAUCAGGGUGAACUGAUCAGUAUAUUGAUUUGAGGCCAUAUCGCUCAGCCCUACUGCAUUGUGCAUACUUAUUAAAGUGUAGAAAAGCACAUUUAGGUGAAUUACUGCUCUUUUUCUGAGGAAUAACAAUGAAGAUAAUAAUAAUAAUGAUAAAUAGCUGCUGCAGUCUGUCUGUUAGUGCUUGUAAACAUGACAGAGACCUGUGUAUUUUGCAUAUUCCUGUUUCCUGUCUUCAUUUCACACUGUCCACUAAAAGGAUUUCUAUCUCUGCUAAUUUAUUCUCCCAUAUUUUUGCCAUUAGCUGUUCACCCUUUUUUUUUUUCUCGGUCCAUCUCAUCUUCCCUAACCGCCCCAAAGCCUGACUAAUGCCGCAUGCUGCCCCCUACGUUCGGCCUCCAGUAAUACAGUCUGCAGAGCCAGCUGUAGUGUAAUUAAUUUCUCAUUAGUGUAAGCAAUAAUGACUAUCUCACAAUCUUGCUUGGCCUUUUUUUUUCCCUCACUCUCACUUCUUCUAUCUUGCUGCUUGUGUAUCUCUAUUGGCCUCAUCCUCCUC
Molecule: non-coding RNA, 8869 nt
Organism: Xyrichtys novacula (pearly razorfish)
Lineage: Eukaryota; Metazoa; Chordata; Actinopteri; Labriformes; Labridae
Source: the annotation of a GenBank genome assembly